UGGGGAAUAUUGGACAAUGGGCGCAAGCCUGAUCCAGCCAUGCCGCGUGAGUGAUGAAGGCCCUAGGGUUGUAAAGCUCUUUCACCGGUGAAGAUAAUGACGGUAACCGGAGAAGAAGCUCCGGCUAACUUCGUGCCAGCAGCCGCGGUAAUACGAAGGGGGCUAGCGUUGUUCGGAUUUACUGGGCGUAAAGCGCACGUAGGCGGACUUUUAAGUCAGGGGUGAAAUCCCGGGGCUCAACCCCGGAACUGCCUUUGAUACUGGAAGUCUUGAGUAUGGUAGAGGUGAGUGGAAUUCCGGGUGGAGAGGUGAAAUACGUGGAUAUUCAGAGGAACGCCAGUGGCGAAGGCGGCUCACUGGACAAAUACUGACGCUGAGGUGCGAAAGCGUGGGGAGCAAACAGG
Molecule: ribosomal RNA, 404 nt
Filed under: Actinomycetes bacterium
Lineage: Bacteria; Bacillati; Actinomycetota; Actinomycetes
Description: Actinobacteria bacterium partial 16S ribosomal RNA
Rfam family: Bacterial small subunit ribosomal RNA
Source: RNAcentral